Dama dama (fallow deer) is the source of this 4449-nucleotide long non-coding RNA. RefSeq lists it as uncharacterized. The record is from RefSeq and is a predicted model, not a curated record. NCBI's taxonomy places the organism in Eukaryota, Metazoa, Chordata, Mammalia, Artiodactyla, Cervidae. The transcript has 2 exons.
UCAUUCAGUUCCCACAGCCAACUGGGGCAGGGACUCAGAGAGGUGAUGAGUUGACUUCUCCCCUCUCUCCUUCCAGUUUCUAAGUAGUCAUGUUAGGUUAAUUGGCUACACCUGUCCCAUUCCCACAUCUGUGCCCCUUGUCCUUCGCUCACCUAUCUUCUGGUGCUGAUGGCAGGACCGGACACCAGCAUGUCCGCAGAACGAAGUUUCACUGCCUCUUAGUGAAGUGUCCCCACACUGCAUGUCUGGAGCCUUUUCCUAAGAGAACAGAUGGCUGCGGGACCCAGAACACUCUCAGGGCUCCCAGUGCCUCUUCUCUAAAUCUGUGUUUUCCUCUAGGGUGGCACCCACCCACACGUUCCCAGAACAGCAGUGUGACCCUGGCAUGCGUUGGGACAAAAGCUGUCUUUUUUAUUUCAGUUUUGAUAAGCCCUACAAAGACACCCUGGUGAGAAGUCAGCUCUGCCUCAUGCUCACAGAAUAGGCUGUUCUUGGGCAGGCUUCUUUGUUCCUGUGGGUCUUUGCCAUCAGCCUCCCAGGAAGAACCUGUUUGAGACCUGUGGGGGCGUGAGAGGAAUGGGUAAGCGCUUUGAGAUUUAAUCUGUAGCAGUUGACUGACUUAAAAGCCACUUGGAACAGAAGCCAUCGUGAGGGAACAUGGUGAAGAGUAUCAUAAAAAUCUGAGAGUCCUCAAAUGGAAGAGAACGUCUCCUCACUGAACCUUGAGCAGAAGAAAUUCUCAUGAUCCUCCUAGUUUUCACCGUGUUUUUCUCUACCUACCUAUCUCAGUAGUCUCCUGUUAGGGCUGUUUCUCUGCUUCUCCUAAGUCGUGGAUGGUGGACAUCCUUGUGUGCCCACCUCCCCCCCAUUUCUCUGUCUUCUUUUACAUAACUAGCUCAGACUGCUUGGCUGUGUGGCUCCAGUGGUUACAGUUCCUAGGACGGAGAAUCUGAUUGACCCAGGUUCAGGUCAGGUGAAUUCUCUAGAUCCAGUCUGCUCUGGCCAGGUAACUGCUGCUGCUGAUUUAGGAGCAGCUUCAAAGGAUCAGCGUUGGAAAUAAGGAAGCCAAAAUCUUUUCUUGGUCACCGGGGAUAUGAUCAGCACAGGCUGACUUUGACCACAUGGAUGUUCUAAAUGCUCCUGGUGGCUGCCAGUUGUAUCCUGGAUGCCGCUCUCCAGGCUCCCUCUCGUAACUUCCACAGCCUCUAGCAGAGCACAACAUGAGCACGGCCUCAAAGAAAGGCCUGUGCCACAUCUACGUCAUGUCAGAAGGGAAGGUGAAAACUGUACUGUGUUUAGCCAAGCCUCUCCUAGUAGCAUGACAGGCAGGCAUUGAGGUGAGAGGGAGGAAGUGGAAAGAUAACCUGCCAAAUACGUGCCUUGAGGACCAAGUGGAUCCUCAUGGCUCCCUCCUUGCCUCCAGUAGCUUCAUCAACUUUAUUACUGAGCUUGUCCUGACAGACUGCUAGGCUUAUGUCCCUUUUACUCACAUCAGCAGGCCACGCGCCUGCCAUUGUCAGAGCAACCUCAAGUGGAUUGAGGAAUUCUUUUUUUAUAGUUGACAUCUUGUCCUUGGGAUCAGGUUUAACUUGUCUGUAGCCUGACUUCUGACUGAGAAAAACCAAGGAUGCCUCGGCUUCAUCACCUCAGGAGGUCCACUUGAAGGGGCGCUGCAGCUCCCCUCCCCACCCAUUGCUUUUCUUUAGCCUCUGUCUCCCCUCUCCUCCCUGCUUUAUUCCACCCUGUCCCCUGCUGGGUGUUUCUUGGCUGGUGAUCCGAUGUCUGGAGGAAGGCUCGCCCCCAGCAGAGACUGCUCAGAUGGCUUUCCCCGAUGUGUGCCGCCUUCAGGCAGACAGACUGUAACUGUUCAGGCAGGGCCACAGCAGGACUCUUUUCCUUCCUACAGCAGAUAAUUAUUGAGCAACAGAAACCAGCCAGGCACUGGGGACACAGCCAAUGAACUAAACAAAGGCCUGGUCUGGUGGGGAAGAGACUAGCAGCAUGAAGGUGUGACACAUCAGGUGGUGAGAAGCUCUGUGGGGAGAGGUUGAGGCAGAGUGAAGUCCUGGGAAGGGGGUUUACAGCUUUUAGUGAGGGUGGUUGGAAAAAACUUCUUACAAAAUGACACUUAAUAUUUGCCCAAAGGAAGUUGGGAGUGACUGAUCUGGCUGUCAAGGAGAAGAGUCUUCCAGGCAGAGAGAGGAGCUAGUGCAGAGGCCCUGAGGCUGGAGCAUGACUUGGUAUAUUAGCUGGAGUGGAUUGUGUGAGGAAGAAGGUAGUAGAUGAGGUAAUGGUGGGGCUUGCUUUCUGAGAUGGGAGUCAUGAGCUGAUCUGGAUUUUAUCAGAAUCGCCUGCCUUCUAGCUACUGUGUGGACACUGGAGUGUUGGUGGCAGUGCAGAAACAGGGCCCUUGUUGCAUCCUGGAUGUUUAGAGCGUGCCAAGGGCAAGUGUGCAGAAGUGGUACCACGUGGGCAGUGGUCCCCAAAGAAGAUGUGGGUCCUUUGGGGUUCAGAUUUUAGCUUGGGCACAUGAUCCACUUUUCUCAGCUUCCGUUUGCCAUCUAUUAAAAAUGGGAGAAACAGUGCCUGCUGUGAGGAGUUACCGGGGGCAAGUGCAUUCUGGGAGAGGCGGCAGCAAUAGUAAUGCUGUUAUUGCAUAUUGUGUCAUGAAAGGUCCCUGCGUCUCCGGUGCUAGGUGUUUUAUCAUCCCUCAGUUUAGGGUUGCCAGGGUUGCAUAGGCUGAAACCCUUCCAUUUCACAUGUGAGGAAAUAGGUAAUUAUAAAAAAAGAUGAAUCUGAGUGAAGGUUCAUCCUAAAACAGGCCUCCACAUUGCCUGCAGAAUAUUUUGGCUAAGAAAACUGCAGCUGUUCUCUUUAAUUUGGAGACCAAAGGAGUUUUAGUAUUUGUUGUUGAUUCUUGGUGGGUGUAAGACGGUUGGGGUUGGGCUACACCAGCUUACUAGCGUGUGCAAGUUAAAGUGUCAGUCCUUUUACCUUCAAGUUUCCUUAACAUAAUUGGAUUUUAAUAUUUUGCAAAUGGGCCCCGCUAUGGAAAUGUUACUUUCCUUCCUCUGGGACUGUGAUUACCAAAAUGUGGAAGCACAUGGAUGCCAGCUUUCUUCCACAGGUGAAAGCAGAAGGCUCACUUGUCUUAAAUGAACUAAAGACCUCAUACAUUCUUUCGUCUGUGUGCAACUCUUAUUUGUAAAGUUGUCAGAAUUGGAGAAAAAUAAAAAUAGAACAGUAAUUACCCACGUGCCCACCACCUAGAUGCCAUGAUGGUUGACGUUUUGUCAUGUUUGCCAAUUCUGUCUACUUACAGGUAUAUGUAGAUAGAUAUAAUCUAUGUUGGGUUUUUAGCUGAGCCAUCAGAAGCUGCUGACAUGAUACUUUUUCUCUAAGUACUUGAGCAUGCUAUAAGAAUGAGAGUGUUCUCCCUAUUCUAAUUCUGGUCACAUCUGAGAAAAUUUUAAAUGAUUCAGUAGUAUCUAAAGCCAAAUGCAUAUUGAAACUACCCCAGUUGUCUUCAAAGUGUUUUUCAAUAGCUUUAAAGAAAAAAAAAAAAAGUUCAGUUGGAGAUUAUGUCUAUAGUAAACAUCCAGAAGAGUCUUCAUAUCUCACUGCUUUUCCAAAGAGAGCACUUACCGUUAUAGAAUACCCUCACAUCUAUCUCAUUGUUUUUUCCUGAUUGUUGUGUAACUCCUUCCACUAUCUUGACUUCCUGUAAACUAGGAGUUGAAAUGUCUAUAAACAGUUUCUGGUUAAAACAUUUUAGUGUGAAGACUUCUAACAUGAUGCUGUGUACUUCAUACUCGGCAUACCAUGGGGAACAUCACUAUUUGUGAUGCUAAAUUGAUCUUUUUUGUGAUUAUGCAUUUUACCCUUUGAAUUAACAGGGCCAUUGUCAAGGUACUUGGACAUCCUGCAUGUGCCCUGCUCCUCACCAGCCUUUCACUUACUGGUUUUUAUAUCAGUUGGUGGUUCUUACCUGAAAAAACUGUUUCAUUGGCAUUUAAUUUACAAAAUGUAGGAGCCCCUUCAGGAGGGCUUCCUGGCUGGGUCAGCAGUAAAGAACCUGCCUGCAGUGCAAAAGACACAGGAGACGCGGGUUUGAAGAUCCCCUGGAGAGACGCGGGUUUGAAGAUCCCCUGGAGGAGGGCAUGGCAACCCACUUCAGUAUUCUGGUCACAAAAAUCCCAUGAACGGCAGGCUGUAGCCCCUAGGGUCACAAAGGGUUGGACACGACUGCAGUGACUGAGUGUGCCUGCACGCAGACCCUACCUUUUUGACAUGCUUCCACUAUUUUUAAUCAUUUCCUUGGUUUCACUAUUCUGUUCCUCGCAUUAGUCACCUUUCUCCAAAGAAUUCUGGUUCCUUGCAAUGGGUCUCAGACUUCUUUUAUUGACAGCUUUAUUGGAUAUAAUGUAUACAAUAAAAAUUUUAACUUGA